AUUGAACGCUGGCGGCAUGCUUUACACAUGCAAGUCGAACGGUAACAGGUCUUCGGAUGCUGACGAGUGGCGAACGGGUGAGUAAUGCAUCGGAACGUGCCCAGUCGUGGGGGAUAACGCAGCGAAAGCUGUGCUAAUACCGCAUACGAUCUAUGGAUGAAAGCGGGGGACCGUAAGGCCUCGCGCGAUUGGAGCGGCCGAUGUCAGAUUAGCUAGUUGGUGGGGUAAGGCCCACCAAGGCGACGAUCUGUAGCUGGUCUGAGAGGACGACCAGCCACACUGGGACUGAGACACGGCCCAGACUCCUACGGGAGGCAGCAGUGGGAAUUUUGGACAAUGGGCGCAAGCCUGAUCCAGCAAUGCCGCGUGCAGGAAGAAGGCCUCGGUUGUAACUGCUUUGUACGGUAACGAAAGGAC
Molecule: ribosomal RNA, 417 nt
Filed under: uncultured bacterium
Lineage: Bacteria
Description: bacterial SSU rRNA
Rfam family: Bacterial small subunit ribosomal RNA
Source: RNAcentral